GGAUUAAUAUUUCCGUACCUUGGAUAGCUGCGAUGGAGAGACGGAGAAGGCUAGGUGAGCCGGGCGACGGUUGUCCCGGUUUAAGCAUGUAGGCAGUGGGAUUAGGCAAAUCCGGUCCCACAAUGCCGAGACGCGACGACGACUGCCCUUUUAGGGCGGGAAGUCAUUGAUGCCCUGCUUCCAGGAAAAUCUUCUAAGCUUCAGGCUAUUCGAGACCGUACCCCAAACCGACACAGGUGGUCAGGUAGAGAAUACCAA
This 258-nucleotide ribosomal RNA is filed under the name Plantibacter sp. MMLR14_011. Its description in RNAcentral is "partial 23S ribosomal RNA". It matches the Rfam family "Bacterial large subunit ribosomal RNA", at positions 1427 to 1684 of the family's 2925-position model. Lineage: Bacteria; Bacillati; Actinomycetota; Actinomycetes; Micrococcales; Microbacteriaceae. The record is from RNAcentral.